CGCGGCCCCGGAGGAAGCCCCGGGAACUUUGUUUCUCGGCCCCCUACCUCUGGCACCCUCCGCUCUCACUGGGACUCGCCGGCCGCCCCUACAGGGGGAAGGAGAGACUUUUAAGACAACCCCUCCCCUCAGCCCAGCGCCGGGACCGAGUAGCAGGCGGACUGAGCGCCACGCUACACCUCCCCGCCCUUCUCCACCUCCUCGCCCUCCUCCACCUCCU
Molecule: long non-coding RNA, 220 nt
Filed under: Homo sapiens (human)
Lineage: Eukaryota; Metazoa; Chordata; Mammalia; Primates; Hominidae
Description: non-protein coding lnc-JAK1-7:1
Source: RNAcentral